Molecule: non-coding RNA, 71 nt
Organism: Potamilus streckersoni
Lineage: Eukaryota; Metazoa; Mollusca; Bivalvia; Unionida; Unionidae
Source: the annotation of a GenBank genome assembly
GUCUGGGUACUUCAAUUGGUGGUGUUUGACUCGAAAUCCAAGGGUCGCGGGUUCGAAAACCGCCCAGGACA